UCGCCUACAUGAAGCUGGAAUUGCUAGUAAUCACAGGUCAGCAUACUGUGGUGAAUACGUUCCCGGGCCUUGUACACACCGCCCGUCACACCAUGAGAGUUGAGAAUACCCGAAGUCCAUGUCAAAGUGGCCGAAGGUAGGCUUGAUGAUUGGGGUGAAGUCGUAACAAGGUAAC
Molecule: ribosomal RNA, 175 nt
Filed under: uncultured bacterium
Lineage: Bacteria
Description: partial 16S ribosomal RNA
Rfam family: Bacterial small subunit ribosomal RNA
Source: RNAcentral